UACGUAGGGGGCAAGCGUUGUCCGGAUUUAUUGGGCGUAAAGAGCGUGUAGGCGGCCAGACAGGUCCGUUGUGAAAACUCGAGGCUCAACCUCGAGAUGUCGAUGGAAACCGUCUGGCUAGAGUCCGGAAGAGGAGUGUGGAAUUCCUGGUGUAGCGGUGAAAUGCGUAGAUAUCAGGAGGAACACCGGUGGCGAAGGCGGCUAUCUGGACAGAGUCUGACGCUGAGGCGCGAAAGCUAGGGGAGCAAACAGG
RNAcentral lists this ribosomal RNA (253 nucleotides) under uncultured bacterium. RNAcentral describes it as "partial 16S ribosomal RNA". It matches the Rfam family "Bacterial small subunit ribosomal RNA", at positions 524 to 776 of the family's 1533-position model. The record is from RNAcentral.